CGAUUUUAUUGAUGAAGUUGAAAGUGAUUAUAUUACUAGAUUAGAUGCAUCAGAGGAUAAUGCAGAUAGUGAAAUAUCCACAAGUGGUACACAUAAAAUAGUAAAUAGUGCAAUAUAUAACGCAUGUGCUACAUGCAUUAAAAAUAUAUCAGAUGCUAAAGAAAGAUUUAACAAAUGGGAUGAUGACUCAGAUGAAGAUGAUGAGUAUGAAUUUGAAGUAAGACGUAAAGUACACAAGAAUUUUCAUAAAUCCAGUAAUUAUGAUAGAUAUAAUAUUGAGAAUAAAAAUGAAUAUGACUAUGAUAAACAUAAUAAUGAUAAUCAGGAUGGGAUAAGAAUGAUUGAUUAUAAAAAUAAAAUAAAACAGUAUGAACUUAAAAUUAAAAAGUAUAAAAAUAAAAUACAUGAAUUAAGAAGGUAUUGUAGAUUGUCAAAAAAUUAUCAUAAUAGCUCCAAAGGAAGUUAUGGUGAUGACACAAAUACUAAAAAAGAUAUAAAACCGAACGUGGAUUCGUCAACAAUAGAUGAUGUUGCUCAUUAUUUAUUAGAUGAUAUAUCCGACACUGAACAAAACAUGCAUAAAGAAUAUGAUCUAAUAAAAAAUGAAAUUUAUAAUAAAUUAAAUUAUAUUCAAGACGAAAUAGAUCUAAUCGUAAAAGAUAUUGUAAAACAAUUUGUAAAUAAAGUUGAAGAUUCAACACAACUAAAAUUAGAAGAAAUAACAGACAUGAUUAAAGAAAUACGUAAACACAUUGAACCAUAUUGUAAUGAUUUAAAAUCUAAAUUACGACCAAAUAUAGAGGAAUUAUUAAAACCGGCUGUUGAUAUUUUUAUUCAACGAAUUAAUAAAAUCGAGCAAAUAUUUUUAAAUAAAAUUAAAAAAUUUCAUCUUAAGUUAGACAUUUUUACAGAAAAAAUACAACCAAAAAUAGAUGAAUUUAGAGAGAAAUUAAACAAUGAUGUAAUUGAUGCUAAAAUUGAUGAGUUUGUAAACUAUUUAAAUAAUUACAUUGAUGAACAAGUAUAUAAUAGUAUAAAUCAUGAAAUCAAUAGAAUCCAAAGGAAUAUAGAAAGUGACAUUAAAUACAAAAUUAAUAAGUUUGUGUAUAUAAAUAAAAAAACACUU
Molecule: long non-coding RNA, 1126 nt
Filed under: Piliocolobus tephrosceles (Ugandan red Colobus)
Lineage: Eukaryota; Metazoa; Chordata; Mammalia; Primates; Cercopithecidae
Description: lncRNA (ENSPTEG00000000470.1)
Source: RNAcentral